Long non-coding RNA from Nycticebus coucang (slow loris), 3003 nucleotides. RefSeq lists it as uncharacterized. NCBI's taxonomy places the organism in Eukaryota, Metazoa, Chordata, Mammalia, Primates, Lorisidae. The record is from RefSeq and is a predicted model, not a curated record. The transcript has 3 exons.
UCCCUAUUUUUCUUGAGUUUGGUGGGCAAACGGGCACCCCUCAGGGAGAUGGACCGUUCUAUUGUAAUAUUUUUCACCUCACACAAGUUGUUUUCCUAAACUUUUCAGGAAUUAAAACUUGGGAGGCUUAGCGGCCCCACAUCUGCUCAUCUUCCGCGGUCACGGGCGAGCUAAUAGGCUGCGCUAGGUGCAGGUUCCUGGGACCUCAUUUCAUGCCCUUUCCAGAGCCACAGAGCAGGGGAAGGAAGGCUUCCCUCUCUCCCUCCCGGCGGUUCCUGGAGACCUUCCACUGGAGCACUUCGGAGUGAAACUUUUUUCUUAAGGAGGGAAAAUAGAUUUCUACUGACGAAGGUAACUUGGACGUGGCCCUCUGAGCCAACCUCUGGAAAUCGCGUUUCUAUGAGGGACCGGUUAUGAAGCAGAAGAAAACCACUGAAAUGCAACUAUAGAAUCUAUGAUGGAUGGUUUUGUGCUGGAAACCUCAGUGGAGAAGGGAAGGGGCCCGAGCUGGGCUGCGUCAGAGUCCAGCCCUCACCAGGCCAUCACUCCGCCUGUGGAAAAAUCCAGAAGGUGCUUGGUCCUCCCUCUCAAGUCUAAAUGUGAACAGGAAAUUCCACUUGGCCCUGCCCUGGCUAGAUUAGUAAUCAGUCACAAUUGUUGGUCUUUAGAAAAAUAAAAUAAAGGGUGGUGCCUGUGGCUCAGUGAGUAGGGCUCCGAUCCCGUAUACCGAGGGUUGCCGGUUCAAACCCCGCCCCGGCCAAACUGCCACAAAAAAUAGCCCGGCGUUGUGGUGGGCACCUGUGGUCCCAGCUACUGGGGAGGCUGAGGCAAGAGAAUCACCUAAGCCCAAGAGCUGGAGGUUGCUGUGAGCUGUGUGACACCACGGCACUCUACCGAGGGCGAUAAAGUGAGACUCUGUCUCUACCAAAAAAAAAAGUAAAUAAAAUAAAAAAGUAAAAAAGAAGAAGAAAAUAGAGAAAUAAAUAUUUUUCUUGCAAGCAUCAAAGCCUUAUAAUGGCAGCAGUGACAACUACAGAACCAUCUGGAAUCUGUUGAGUCCCUCUUGCAUGCCAUUUGUCACAUCUGUUGAAGGAUCCUGGUUGGAAGUGCCGAGUCCUGCCAUGAGACUGAGGCUCCCCUUCCCUUCUCCUUGGCCUUGAACGCUGUUGAUUCCAGAAAGUGGCCUGGAUGUGGGCCACAGGACUGACUCAUGUGGGAGCAUUGUGAUGUCUUAGUGCUCCCAGGAUCACACAGAGAGGGCACCUUCUCAAUUGCGGAACCUACCUGUUCCUGACCAAGGCCACUGACACCCGCUGCUCUAUGGGUCCAGAAGAUGUCUGCUUCAAAUCCACUCAUCUUCAAGGUGCCUCUGUGCCUUCAGGAGUGUGCAGUGUACAUCCCCUGGGACAUCUGUCCAGCACAGGACAGUGUCCCAUGUUGGAGGCCUUGUACUGGUCCUCAUCGUGUGGCUACACUGGACACGGCCUGCUAGAUGCUCCAGGCUCACCUUGGAUGAGGAUCAUUUUUUUACUAUGUGGAUAUAGAGAUGCUGGUUCUGUCCCAGGCAGAGGUGCCUGGAGAGGUCAUGAUGAAGACUGAAGGAAGCAUCCUGCCAUGUGGCCUUGGCUCUCAGCUCCUGAUUCUGCCCCCAGUACCAUUCUGAAACUUUCUGCUUGUUUCUUGCUGUGCUCUUCAUGAAGAAUCACUGACCUGCACUCUCACUCUCUCCACCAGGCCUCCCUUCCACAAGCUCCCUCCACCUCAUUAUGUGUCUACUUAGAAGCUGCAGGGACUGAGCACUGAAAGUGUCCAGACCCCACCAGGAAGCCACCUCAAGACUGUCAGUGAACUAUGACAGCCUUUGAGAUGGUGCCAGACCAGGUACUCAGAAUGACUCAGGAAUCAGCCAUGGUCCCGUGCCAUCCCUGCAUGCUCCUCACACCAAGACUCCUUUUUAAGCUCCCAUCCUCAACCGGGAACUUUGAAAUGGUUUCUUUGAGGCAUGGCCAUUUCCCCACUGCUAGCUCUGGAAUAAAGUCACUUUUUACCACAGCUUGUUCUGGUCAUUGGCUUUUAUAAGCAGUACGUGGCUGAGCCUGUGACUGAUUACAAUUCUGUCCCUUCCCAGAGCCCUGCUGCUGCCUGGCACAUGAGCUCUGAGGCGUCCGGUGUCCUUACUGAUAACGCCCCUCUGCUUCCCUAGCACUAACCCUGUAGGCUUUGUGCCCACUUUGUUCUGGUUCAAACGAGGGGAGAGGGUGACGUCAGGACUUUAGUGCAGAUACCUCUGUCCUGAUUUUCUUGGCUGCCACUGGGUGGGACGGGAAGGUGAGAAGCAGACACCAUCUUUUAAAGAAGGCAGAUGUAGGCCGGAGCAGCAGAUGUGGGCUGGUGUGAGGCAGGGUCUGUGAUGACAGCACACACAGGGGAGGGCCAGAUGGGUUGGCUGCAGAGCACACAAAGCAGUUCCGCACACAGAGGCUGUAGUGUGCUUGCUCGGAGCAGACAGGCUGAUGGACCACGAGAGGAACAUGUCUCAGGAGGUGGUGGGUCCAGGAGAAGGCAAGACCUUCAGGAAAGACCUUUCAGCUCCGACCCAACCUGAACUUGCACCAAGUCUAGCCUCCGCACAGACCUGUGAGCAAGGAUGGAGUGGUUUGUUACCCAGCACCGCUGCAGCUGACUACCAUGCUCUGUGAAAGGGCCUGAAUGCUCAGAGAAGAGACUCCUGCAGCGAGUGGUGUCCUUAGAACCUGUCUCCUCCUCCCGCCCCCCAUUUUAGGGCUGUGUAAACUGAGGCCUGGCUUGGGGAAGGCAGCAUGGAGAAGGCAGAUGGGAGGUGGAUGCUGGCUUUGCACCAGCAGUGUGGCCCUGAGCAGACUGAACCAAGUCUUUGGCUUGGCUUCCAAACCUCUCAAAUGGUGACAAUCAUAUCUACAAAGGAGACAACUGCGCACUGUGCCCGGCACAGGGUCUGUGCUUACACGCUGCACCGUCUAUAAG